UGAAAGACACGGGUAGUGAGAUGCUGUACUGUAGACUUCUUACUACCCUGUCUUUCGAG
RNAcentral lists this microRNA precursor (59 nucleotides) under Euprymna scolopes. Its description in RNAcentral is "Esc-Mir-71_pre stem-loop". It matches the Rfam family "mir-71 microRNA precursor family". Lineage: Eukaryota; Metazoa; Mollusca; Cephalopoda; Sepiida; Sepiolidae. The record is from RNAcentral.